GUGAAGGUUCCCUACACUCCUCCGAGGAAAGCCAUCUCCGCAAAAACAGGAGAUUCAAGCUGACAAGAGAGGCAACUUUGAAAGCAAAGGAUCUUAAACGCCGGUCUUUGACAUUCUUUAUUCUGAAAUCGGACUUGUGACAAACUAAACCAGCAUCAUGGGAAAAGGUGAGAGCGAGGAAUGGGAUGAAAAGCCGAGGACAAAUCAGCCACAGAGUUAUGAAGACACGCAGGAUAAAAGCUCCAAAAAGAAAGGUGGRUGCCCCACGUGCUGCUUGAAGUUCAGAGACUGUCUGAUGAGUCCAGAAUGUGGCCGGUGCCUUCAGAUCUCCUCUUGUGUUGCCUUCUGUGGGUCAUGUAUCCGCAUGUGGAUGUAAUGAAGCCUGCGGGGCAUCGAGACCCGUCCUGAGCGGCAUGAAUACAAAGCACUCUCAGGUCCCCUGCAUGCCUGAGAGUCAUGCCGUCUGAUUUUCUCCUAAUCAGAAAUGAAAAGCUUAUUUAUUUUCCGUUUACCGCUUUACGUUUGGGAGCCUUUUAGUACGAAGUAAAAUAAGUAGCAGUAUUUGAAGAAAACAGCUUGUAAAAGUUAAUCUUAUUAUUGUUUACCUUUAAAGRUCUUUAUUGUGGCUGUUUAGUUGAUAGAUGUUCAUACCCAUUGUAAAUGUGGAGUAUUUGAUAUGUUCUUAAUUUUGUAAAUAUAUGUAUCUUCUGAAAGAAGUAAAUAAUAACAAAUUUUAUAUGUGUAAAAAAAAA
Long non-coding RNA from Austrofundulus limnaeus, 752 nucleotides. RefSeq lists it as uncharacterized. The record is from RefSeq and is a predicted model, not a curated record. NCBI's taxonomy places the organism in Eukaryota, Metazoa, Chordata, Actinopteri, Cyprinodontiformes, Rivulidae. The transcript has 3 exons.